Marmota monax (woodchuck) is the source of this 6404-nucleotide long non-coding RNA. RefSeq lists it as uncharacterized. The transcript has 2 exons. The record is from RefSeq and is a predicted model, not a curated record. NCBI's taxonomy places the organism in Eukaryota, Metazoa, Chordata, Mammalia, Rodentia, Sciuridae.
GUCAACUGUAAAGUCCUACAUUCACCAAGGCCUGCUAUAGGUCAGGACCCUGUGGACACAGAGAUGUCAACACACCCCACGCAAACCCCUCCCCUCAGGAGAUCAAGUUCUGGAGGAGGGGUCUUGGUCAGAGUUGAGAGGUGACCUCAGGGCCCAGGCCUGUGACCCAGGCAAAACAAUAUGCAUCAGAAUAAUGAAAUGGGGUAAGCCAGCGGUGAGAUCCAGAGCCUGCCCUUGGUCACCUGAGAGGCACGGGCAGCCCAGAAGAGGCCUGGGGUGUGGGGUUGUUUUCCACUGGGGCUAUUUCAAGGCAGGGUGAGGCAAGGCAGUGACAGGAAGGCUCCUGGCCAGCACAAGAUGACGGUGCAGUUUCCUGAUGCAGACUGAGUCAAGGUGUCUCCGGGGCUCAGCAGGAAAGGGUGAGGGGCUCUGGCACCAUGAGGAGCCCAAGGUGACCCAGAAGGCCACAGCUCCCAAACUGGAUCCUUGGAGGAUGGGGGCUGAAGUUCUGGCACAUUCUCAAGUGGCAGCAGCAACACUGUCAUGGUCCUGCCCUUGGAGUAAAUCGGAAGCACCAUCCUUUCUGAACCCUCUUGUCUUUUCCAGGGGUUCUUGUGGAAAAUACCAGGGUCUCUCCCUGGGCUGGUGUGGAUAUGUUCAGAAACAAGAGCUGAGCUGUCUUCAGAACAAGAGUGGUAGGUUGUCACGAGGGAAGCCUCCGAUCUUUAUCCUCUGAGGCCAAGGUCUUGGAGAGGGGACCCUGACCCUGGAAUGUGGAUGUUGCCCAAGUCCCCCACCCCUAUCCUUUCGCCUCCAACCCAGAGCCCCUAAACCAGCUGCCUGGGUGGAUAAACUGUGGCCACCCCUCCAGGCAGGGCGGGCCCUCACCACUCAGCCCCACCCAGGGGCCCCUAGGUUCUGUUUAUGGCAGUUUUCUGAAACAGCUUGUUUUGAUCUACAGAGAUCUGCUGACGCACUGGCUACCCCUUCUCCCUCCUGCAUCAGGGUGGAGUUAUUUUUAGCUUCAUCGGUAGAGGAAUAAAGAAGAACACAGGCCCACCAUACUGUGGGCACAGCCCUGUGACCCCAAGGCAGGACAGGGCACCUCUGUGUGGUUUUGAAGCUUCCACUCACCUCUCCUCAGACACAUGCCUUUUCUGAGGAAAAUGAGCUGCGUAGAACUAGGAGGCCUGGACAGUUUCCAAACACCAACUCUGAAACUGUGUUACUUUGUCCUUGGAAGAGGGUGGCUAGGGCAGCUCCAGAGGAGAGGGCACAAAGGAGCCUGAUACUGCAUGGAGGGGCCUGGGCUUUAUAGAACCCUGUGCAUUGAGCAUUGCCAGUUACCCCUCCUCCUACUCUUUGGAAAAGUCUAAGAAAGCUUGUGUCUGGGAUUUGGGAACAAUGUGUGUGAACGAGGGCGAGUUUUGAGAAGAGAAAUAGAGAAAAACAAGACAUCAACUUGGGCCCUGGAAGCAGCCAACAGUAGUGACUAUGCAUCUCUCGGAUGCUAGCAGGCCAAGUCACCCACCCCUGGAAAGGAUGCCAGGCAAGAUUGAUGGGCAUAACCUGGAGAAGGGCAAGCAGAGCCUGGGGACUCUCCAUGGAUAAGCCACCAGCCAACAAGCCCGGGCUUGCCACAUACUCAGCCUUCUGUGUUGACAAUCACAUGAGAAUGAGUCACCAGUUUUCCCAGAAGCAGGAGAGGGGUGCGGCGGAGCCCCGCCCUGCCUGCAAAUGCCAUCUUGCAGAGGCAGGGGAAAAUUUCUAUCUGGAUUCCUCCCUUGUCGUCAAGGGAGCCUGUUGUCACAGGGUGGUUUGUUUGGGGUGUGGGCGGUUGGCCUGGGAGGAGACUUCUUUCUACCACCUACCCCAGGGGCGGGCCUUGAACCAAUAGGUGCCCCAUGGGGGUCUUCUCGGCCUCCUCCUCACCCUGGCCCCAUAUGGUAAUGGAAGGCCGAUUAUUCUUUUCAAAACCCUCACAAAAUCCUUAGCCCUGCCAGCCUUUUGACCGGGUUGCUUUUGGCAGGCUGGCAUCCAUGCCUUGUAGGCAGCCAGCCCGAUACCUCCAGAAGCCACUAGACCCACUCCUUGGGGCCCAUCACAAGUCACAAGCUGUCCCGGACCAGUGCUGAGGUUUUUGGUUUGUUUGUUUGAAUCACUUUUCUCCCCCCACUCCUCACUCCAAAAGCAAAGUGAGUUUUAAACCUACACCCAUCUGGUCUGGGCCCUACAAUUGCCCGUAUUGUUUUCCGCAUAAACUUUCGCCAUUAAUACGUCACUCACUUAUCUCGCUAAAUAUUCUAUCCAGCGGCCUAAUUAACUGCUGUUAGGGAAUGUUUCAACUCCCCGGGUCCCUGCUGACCCGCAGGGACAGGACCAGGGACACGGCUGCACCCACCCGCCCCCUGCCAUUUAAGCAACAAAGCAGGGCGUCUCGGCCACGCGCGCUGUGGGUACAGUCUGCUGUGCAGGUCACCGCGUUUCCCUCGAGAGGGUCGCGUCCUCCGGGGCGUCCCCGCCCCCACCGCGAGCGCCGGGGCGCUGACGUCACCGGCCGAGCACGCGGCGGCGCCACCCGGGAGUCACGCGCUGCCGCCCAGAUAGUGCUGCGCCGCCGCAGAGAUCCCUCCGCCGCCCCUGGAAUUUUCCAGACGCUCUGCCGGCCCUUCUUUCGGGCCUCUGCUGGGCGGGGUGACCCGAGGCGACCCCAACUCCCUCGGUCGGCUCCGAAGCGCUGCCCCUGCACGCCCCCCCCGCCCCCGCCCCACCUGAGGAAGGGACUUCUCCCCGCGGCCACUGCCUCCCAAAUGUGACGUUGGGAUCUGUCCCCAGGAAGGCCUGUUACUAGAGAAGGAGGGAUAAUUAGGGAGUGGCCACCAAAGGGAGACCGUGAACCGCCCCUGGUUGGCUUCUUGGGCGGGGUGGGGAGGGACUUUUUUUCCGGUGUCAGUGGAGGAAUCGUCCCGUUGAGUAGUGUCUUGUGACGCGACCCGGGACUAUAAAAGCAAAAGUUGUGGCCCAUCCAGCAGGAGUUAGCGACAGGCAGGGCUGGCGCCUGGGUGUAGUGGUGGGGCGGAAGUGACCAGUUCAGGGUCUCAGGGGACACAGGCAGGAGAUGGCAGAGCUAGAGGGGGUGGGGGUGCGUGGGGAAGGAAGGGCUGAAAAGGAGCUUAGAUGUGGGGGGCUCUGCAGCGCGAAGGCCCACAGCACCCCGCGAGGCCGCAGCAGCUCUCGGGCCUCGCUGUCCCUUCUGCUACUGCUGCUGGAGCGGGGAUUUGACUUCCAGGAGGCCGAGGUCCUUCCAUGGGCCUAGCUGGCCCUGGUGGCCUGGUUAACGUGGAGGAGGAAGGCAGGCUGAGGCGGGAAGAGGUGGAGACUGGCCUAGGCAGUGGUCGUUGGCAGGCAGGGUCGCAGGCCCGCAGCUGGGCGGGGAGGGCCGACUUGAAACUUGUCAAUACCAGCAGCCCCCUUUUUUUCCAGACAAAGGGUUGUGAACCUGCCUGGGGAUGAAGCCUGGUCUUAAGGAAACUGGACUUGGCUUCGCGGGCCGGGCCUGACAGCUCUGGCCCAGGGUGGUAUGUAAACAGGGCUCACCCCGGAGCCCAGGAGGUGAAGGGUGGCCUGAGGAGUGAUCACGAUCCAGUGUGCCAUUGCCACCUGUUAACUGGGGGCUGCUGAGGCAGGCUGCUUGUGUCUGGGGAAAAUAUUGACCAACCCUUUAUUUUCCAGGUGGCAGUACCCUCCCCUCUGGACUUCCCUAGGUUCGAUGCUAAACUCUUCUGUGAGCUCACUCUACCCCUCCUCCUCCCUCUAACUCUCUUGAGGUUAUCCCUUCACUUAAAACCUUGCCUCUGGUCAUCUGGUAAGCCUGGUGAAGUCGCAGGAGUGUUCUUGGACUCGGUAUUGUUGGUAAUGGUGCAGAAGGAAAGGCCUUCCCGGUGGAGCCUCUGGGGGGUGGGUUGGUGUUGCUUUUGGAGAGGGUGGGGAUUGAAUGUGCUCCCCUGGGUGGGGCUGCAGCAGUGGUUCCAGCAGAAGUCACCCGAUGCCUCAUGGACCUGGUUUGUUACUGUAGUGUUCAUCAUGGCGAGCAGAUGGCACCAGGACAAAUGGAGCCCCAGCCAGUGUGAGUCGUAGCAGUGCAGGAGGGGAGACCCUGAAGGAGACAGCCCGCUUAAGUUGAUGCCUGCAGAUUGAAUUCCAGAGGCUUAGGAGGAGGAGCAAUUCUCCAGUGUCUUGUGUCCAGGCCUUGCUCAGGAUCCCUGUAUUCAGGAGGCCAACCGUUAAGGUUUUCAGAUGAGCUUGUGGGGGGCAGUUCACAAGUCCAAAGCAGAUGCAUCGGCUUGAGGGGCCAUCACCUUUGAAUGUUUCAGCAGCACCAUCCUCCAGGCACAGGAAUGCCAGCAGGCACCCCUCUUGUCCUGGGGGUGGUUUUCAGAUGCUGCAUCUUCUAAAUUGAGCCUCUGGUCCUUCUAGUUCUGUGCUGUGAACUUUGCUUCCAGAAGAUUCUUAAGUUAUAGAACAUUUUAAAGUUGAUCCAACAACCAGCCUGAUGCCUUUUAGAUGGCACUUGGAGAUGGAGCCCAGGGACCUCUCACCUACCCACCUGCUUACCUGCCUUCCUGUCUGCACAUUGGCCGGAGGAAUUCUUAGUGUGAUGAUAAAGCUUUUGAUUGUUGGGGGGCGGGGCAGGGAGCUGUUCAAUUUUAAAUGCUUUAGGCAGAGGGAAUUUGUUAGCUAGGUAGAUUGUCAAUCUGUGGGGGCUCAUGUGUUGAGCUAAAGUGGGAGGGGACAAGCCGGUCAUGCCCAGGAGCUGUGUGUUGGUAGGGGGUCUUGUCUGGGCAUUCUAAUGGCAUAGGACCUUACAAGAAGGGAAUGGUGGGCCCACCAGUAGUGGGUGGGUCAUGGGUGUUUUGUUUUCUGGUGCUGCAGAUUGAACAGGGCCUUGGGCAUUUUAGGCAAAUGCUCAGCCAUUGAGCUACAACCCCAGCCCAGUUAUUUGCCAGUUAUUUGAUUCUCCCCCACACUUUUUUUUAUACAUCUCAGAGUAUUCUUGUCAUUCCCUCUGGGGGAGGGACAGGGGGGCAAGGGCUGGUGGGGAUGCAGUGCUGGGAGCAUGAGGGUGUGGGAUGUGGGUUGAGAGAAAGUAUGGGCAGAGAUCUGAGGAAUUUCAUAGAAUUUGUGAGUGAAGAAAACACUAGUUAAUGGUAAAUUAUUGGUUAAAUGGUUGCAUAUAAGCAGUGAAAAUUGCUUGGAAAUUUUUAUAAAAGUGCUUAGAACUUCAAGGAAAGUUCAAGAAAAAAAGCAAAAUUGUUUUGCUUUGCUCUAAAGUGGGGAAGACUGAGAAGGUAUAACUGAAAACAAGAAUAUUUAGUUACUUGAAAAAUGACAUGGAACUUGGUGUCAAAACUAUGAGUUUUAAACUCAAGUAUGCACUUACGAUGAGAUUAAUAUGGACUUUUCUGGGUUUGUAAUUCAUAUUUUGUCAUGGAGAUCUCAGUGAUUCAAAAUUCUGAACAAAAUGGAAAUGCUUUUGGAGAGGGUGGGGAUUGAAUGUGCUCCCCUGGGUGGGGCUGCAGCAGUGGUUCCAGAAGAAGUCACCCAAUGCCUCAUUGAUGUGAAUUGUUACUGUAGUGAGACAAAUGGAAAUGCUUUUGGAGAGGGUGGAGAUUAAAUGAUUUUUAAAGGAAUUUCAUAAGAAGUGCCUUAUAGAUUUUUCUGUGUUUGGUCAAAACCAUAAUAGCAAAAGUUUUGCUUACUUAACUAUAGUCUUGAAAUCAGUCAUUGUAACAAGGAAAACCUUUUGUGGUCACAGUGAAAGUACUAUAUUUGUUAGCAAUCAGAAUUAUUAAUGAAUAAUCUAUUGUAUUUUUAGUUUAAAUGAUCCAGGACUAGGGGGGGGAAUGUCAGUCAAAACCAGUUUAGGAAAUAAAAGCAAACUGGGCAGAAGGGGCCAGCUUAAGAGGCAGGCUGUAAGAGCUCCUGUGAAACUCGAUUUGCUUCUGAGCUGAUUUUGUUGAAAUGAUAGAGUAACUCCAGUGGGCUUCAUCCUGUUUUUCCUCCAAAUUUGAACACUUUAAAUACCCAAUACCUUUUAUCCUUAGGACUUUUCCUGUGUUCUGGGUUCCUUUUUUUUUAUGCUUAAAAAUACAUUGGUAUGGUACUUCAGUUCUUAGCUGGUGACUUGGGUGUGAUACAAUUACUGUCAUUGGAACUUAAAGUAUAUUAGUCAUGCUUGUGUGGGGAAAUAUUUCUGGGUAUGCUGUUGUGUAAUGAAAGCUGUAAAAACAGGUGGUUAAAGUACUUGUUUGUAAGGCACGCACUGUUCUGUUCUGUUCUGUGUGUGGUUUCUAACCAUUUUUCUUCCCCUUUACAGCACAAAUAAAGGUUUGAGUUCCAAACUC